GACGAACGCUGGCGGCGUGCUUAACACAUGCAAGUCGAACGGAAAGGCCCUGCUUUUGUGGGGUGCUCGAGUGGCGAACGGGUGAGUAACACGUGAGUAACCUGCCCUUGACUUUGGGAUAACUUCAGGAAACUGGGGCUAAUACCGGAUAGGAGCUCCUGCUGCAUGGUGGGGGUUGGAAAGUUUCGGCGGUUGGGGAUGGACUCGCGGCUUAUCAGCUUGUUGGUGGGGUAGUGGCUUACCAAGGCUUUGACGGGUAGCCCGCCUGGGAGGGUUGCCGGCCACAUUGGGACUGAGAUACGGCCCAGACUCCUACGGGAGGCAGCAGUGGGAAAUAUUGCACAAUGGGCGGAAGCCUGAUGCAGCAACGCCGCGUGCGGGAUGACGGCCUUCGGGUUGUAAACCGCUUUCGCCUGUGACGAAGCGUGAGUGACGGUAAUGGGUAAAGAAGCACCGGCUAACUACGUG
RNAcentral lists this ribosomal RNA (468 nucleotides) under uncultured bacterium. Its description in RNAcentral is "partial 16S ribosomal RNA". It matches the Rfam family "Bacterial small subunit ribosomal RNA", at positions 28 to 507 of the family's 1533-position model. The record is from RNAcentral.